RNAcentral lists this ribosomal RNA (465 nucleotides) under uncultured Klebsiella sp. RNAcentral's name for it is "bacterial SSU rRNA". It matches the Rfam family "Bacterial small subunit ribosomal RNA", at positions 338 to 795 of the family's 1533-position model. The record is from RNAcentral. Lineage: Bacteria; Pseudomonadati; Pseudomonadota; Gammaproteobacteria; Enterobacterales; Enterobacteriaceae.
CCUACGGGAGGCAGUAGUGGGGAAUAUUGCACAAUGGGCGCAAGCCUGAUGCAGCCAUGCCGCGUGUGUGAAGAAGGCCUUCGGGUUGUAAAGCACUUUCAGCGGGGAGGAAGGCGUUAAGGUUAAUAACCUUGGCGAUUGACGUUACCCGCAGAAGAAGCACCGGCUAACUCCGUGCUAGCAGCCGAGGUAAUACGGAGGGUGCAAGCGUUAAUCGGAAUUACUGGGCGUAAAGCGCACGCAGGCGGUCUGUCAAGUCGGAUGUGAAAUCCCCGGGCUCAACCUGGGAACUGCAUUCGAAACUGGCAGGCUAGAGUCUUGUAGAGGGGGGUAGAAUUCCAGGUGUAGCGGUGAAAUGCGUAGAGAUCUGGAGGAAUACCGGUGGCGAAGGCGGCCCCCUGGACAAAGACUGACGCUCAGGUGCGAAAGCGUGGGGAGCAAACAGGAUUAGAUACCCGAGUAGUC